Molecule: ribosomal RNA, 301 nt
Filed under: uncultured bacterium
Lineage: Bacteria
Description: partial 16S ribosomal RNA
Rfam family: Bacterial small subunit ribosomal RNA
Source: RNAcentral
CAUUAGCCGCGGGAAUACGUAGGGUGCAAGCGUUAAUCGGAAUUACUGGGCGUAAAGCGUGCGCAGGCGGUUAUAUAAGACAGAUGUGAAAUCCCCGGGCUCAACCUGGGAACUGCAUUUGUGACUGUAUAGCUAGAGUACGGCAGAGGGGGAUGGAAUUCCGCGUGUAGCAGUGAAAUGCGUAGAUAUGCGGAGGAACACCGAUGGCGAAGGCAAUCCCCUGGGCCUGUACUGACGCUCAUGCACGAAAGCGUGGGGAGCAAACAGGAUUAGAUACCCCCGUAGUCCCUGUCUCUUAUAC